This is a long non-coding RNA of Bubalus bubalis (water buffalo), 411 nucleotides long. RefSeq lists it as uncharacterized. NCBI's taxonomy places the organism in Eukaryota, Metazoa, Chordata, Mammalia, Artiodactyla, Bovidae. The record is from RefSeq and is a predicted model, not a curated record. The transcript is spliced from 3 exons.
CCCAAUCAAUUGAAGGCCUGAAAAGAGUAAGAGGUUGACCUCCUCCAAGCAAAAGAAGAUUAUUCAACAGACUUUAUCUGCAACAUCAGUAUUUCCUGGUUUCACAGUAUACUGCCUUCGGCUUGAACUGCAACUCUCCUGGGUGGCCAGCCUGCUGGCCUUUGUCAUUAAAUUAUGAACUAGCCAAGCUUUCACAAUCACGUGUGCCAACCCCUUACAGCCAGCUUUGUCUGAGUUCCAAACCUGUGUUCUGAAAAUACAGCUGUUCUACAACUCCUUGAGUUCAUGUGUUACAGAUUAAGUCUCCAUCUCAAUUGCAGAUUCUUAGGGAAGAGAUCUCAAUUGGCUCCACUCUGGAUCUUAUUAAUAAUUUCUCGACCAGGGAUCAAACUCAGGCCUGGCAGUGAGAAC